This 254-nucleotide ribosomal RNA is filed under the name uncultured bacterium. RNAcentral's name for it is "partial 16S ribosomal RNA". It matches the Rfam family "Bacterial small subunit ribosomal RNA", at positions 79 to 334 of the family's 1533-position model. The record is from RNAcentral.
CUUUCUUUGCUGGCGACCGGCGCACGGGUGAGUAACACGUAUCCAACCUGCCCUUUACUCGGGGAUAGCCUUUCGAAAGAAAGAUUAAUACCCGAUAGUAUAAUGAUUCCGCAUGGUUUCAUUAUUAAAGGAUUCCGGUAAAGGAUGGGGAUGCGUUCCAUUAGGUUGUUGGUGAGGUAACGGCUCACCAAGCCUUCGAUGGAUAGGGGUCCUGAGAGGAAGGUCCCCCACAUUGGAACUGAGACACGGUCCAA